RNAcentral lists this ribosomal RNA (631 nucleotides) under uncultured bacterium. Its description in RNAcentral is "bacterial SSU rRNA". It matches the Rfam family "Bacterial small subunit ribosomal RNA", at positions 89 to 703 of the family's 1533-position model. The record is from RNAcentral.
AAGCGAGCGGCGGAUGGGUGAGUAACACGUGGGGAACCUGCCCCUAAGUCUGGGAUACCAUUUGGAAACAGGUGCUAAUACCGGAUAAUAAAGCAGAUCGCAUGAUCAGCUUUUGAAAGGCGGCGUAAGCUGUCGCUAAGGGAUGGCCCCGCGGUGCAUUAGCUAGUUGGUAAGGUAACGGCUUACCAAGGCGACGAUGCAUAGCCGAGUUGAGAGACUGAUCGGCCACAUUGGGACUGAGACACGGCCCAAACUCCUACGGGAGGCAGCAGUAGGGAAUCUUCCACAAUGGACGCAAGUCUGAUGGAGCAACGCCGCGUGAGUGAAGAAGGUUUUCGGAUCGUAAAGCUCUGUUGUUGGUGAAGAAGGAUAGAGGUAGUAACUGGCCUUUAUUUGACGGUAAUCAACCAGAAAGUCACGGCUAACUACGUGCCAGCAGCCGCGGUAAUACGUAGGUGGCAAGCGUUGUCCGGAUUUAUUGGGCGUAAAGCGAGCGCAGGCGGAAAAAUAAGUCUAAUGUGAAAGCCCUCGGCUUAACCGAGGAACUGCAUCGGAAACUGUUUUUUCUUGAGUGCAGAGGAGGAGAGUGGAACUCCCAUGUGUAAGCGGUGGAAUGCGUAGAUAUAUGGAA